AGCCCUGACCGUUUGUCCUUGAGCCGUAGAUGGUCAACAAUCCGCUAGCUGUCUUGCUCUGACUGGUGCACUGGACAUGAUUUCAAUAGUCAGCCAGACCAUGAUUGAGCUUAAGGGUUGUGCUGCGGAUGCAGCCUGUGCAGUUCCGGGAGAAAGUCACUGUCUCGGGCAAUGCGGUCUGGUAUCAGGUCUGGAUGAUCCUUGCCUGACUGCGGGUUUGUGUACACCUCAAUCCGACUCUGUGUCCUGAACAGCGGCAGCAGUGGUGCAGCGCUUGUGGACGAUCCAUCAACAUCCUGAAAGGUCAACACUACACCAAGCUGGGAAAAUUGAUCCUGAUAGUCAUCCCCAGGUAGUGGAAUGAAUGUUCACUGAACUACAGAGGAAUCACACCCAAAUGACUUUCCUGCCACGACAUUAGUGUGGCCACUCGCGUAGGAAUUCCUUAGCAAACAUGCUCUUUUGCAUGGUGACUGUGGACAUUUUUGCAAAACUUACGCUUUCAACACUGGAUUUUAAAGAGAAUACUUAAUAAAAUGUCGCUAACAGGACUUAUUUAUAUGAGAGAGACUAUCUGGAUGCGCAUUAAGUGUCACUUUGUGUCAUAAGCUGUUGAAGGAGCGAUUUGCGCCUUUUUAAGUGUUAAUUUUGGGUAGCCGGCUUGUAUCGGCUUGAAAGCUGAAAAUUAUGCCUCUCAUCAUAAUAGCAUUAAUUUUUGUAAUUGCAAUGUGUAUGUUUAGAUUGUAAGUGAAGCUUUUAAUAAUGAUUUUCUUAAAAAACAUGAUUUUAUAUGCU
Long non-coding RNA from Dreissena polymorpha, 795 nucleotides. RefSeq lists it as uncharacterized. The transcript has 3 exons. NCBI's taxonomy places the organism in Eukaryota, Metazoa, Mollusca, Bivalvia, Myida, Dreissenidae. The record is from RefSeq and is a predicted model, not a curated record.